Molecule: long non-coding RNA, 1418 nt
Filed under: Bos indicus x Bos taurus (hybrid cattle)
Lineage: Eukaryota; Metazoa; Chordata; Mammalia; Artiodactyla; Bovidae
Description: lncRNA (ENSBIXG00005021431.1)
Source: RNAcentral
AUGGCUGCGCUCUGCAACUUUUGGUUCUCUAUACCUUUGCAGAUUCUGAGUGUCUCCUGCUGGGCAGUUAUGGCCUAUGACUGGUACAAGGCCAUCAGCAGCCCUUUGCUCUAUGUGGUCAGCAUGUCCAGCAGGGUGUGCUCCCUGCUCCUGGCUGGGGUUUAUCUGUCACUUAACUGUGCUCCAGACCGUAUCUGCUUUACUUACCCCUGUAAAUCCCACACCCAGCACAAACAAGACUCAACAAAUUUGUGGCUGAAGAGGCAGGAACAUACCCUGUCCUCAAGGAGAUGAAGCCGAGCAAGAUGGGAGCCUGAUGAUAACCCUGUGUGAUGAGGAGGCCCCAGGAGGACCUGUGUGGCUGUGGGGUGGGGUGGGGGGCAUUGGCAGAACCCCUGAUGAGCUCCUGGGGAUGGAGAAAGUGGCAGGAAGGAGGGGGUCUGUUCCUUGUGGGGUGUCCACAGAUUGUACCUCACCCUUCACUGAUGAGCACUUAGGCCAUUUUCAAACACGUGUCACUGUUCUGGAGGAAACAAUCAUUGCCCAGCUCCUACUCAAUCAAUUUCGUAGAUAUGUCUCUAGCAUUGGAGUAUAAACGUCUGCUUUAUUCAUUCCAUGCUCCGUUCAUCCACCCAUCCAGCCAGCCAUCUGUUCAUCCAUCCAUCCACUCACUAAUCAAUCCAUCCAUCCACUCUUAAUUCAUCCGAUCAUCUCAGACCCAUUGAGAAGACAGACGCCUCCUCCGCUCCUGCUCCCAGGAGGACACCCAGUGUGAGUGACAGGAGCCUCGUGGGGAUAAGGGGGGAGACACAGAAGGGACAUGCCUGCAGGCCUUCCUCCCUCUGAACGGUGAAGCACCCACCUGGUCCUAACGCCUCCUUGCCGGGGUGUUCAGGCUGGCCCUUUUCCUUCUUGCAAAACAAGCGGCUGAUGGAGGACUUGAUGGCCUUCUUCUUCGGGGCUUUGUGCAGCAAGUCCUGGUGAGAGAGUCAUUUCCUAGGCAGGUUGAUAGGGAGUCUAGGGGUCCCCAAGGAGAGAGGGGUCUGGAAUUCUCAAGGAGGAAGAAAGGACAAACUUUUUUUCUUUCUCCACAUUCCUUAGGAUUAUAUGUAUCCUGCCUAAGGACAGUCUUUGGAUUCAACCUUCUGUUAUCUUAAAAUGUUAAUUAUGGGAGUAGACCUGGUCUUUACAAGGAUGUAUCUUGCCUGAGGACAGUGUUAUCUUAAAAUGCAUCUUAUGGGUGAGGGGCCUGGUGCCAUUCUGAAUUUUAAGACAUUCCUUUCUUUCAUUAACAGACUGCUAGUGACUAUAUAACAUCCAGCUGAAGACUAGCAGGCGGGUACUCUUUCUACCCCCUUCUGAUGCCUAUGUCAGAAGCUUUCUCUAUCUCCUUUAUACUUUAAUAAAACUUUAUUACA